GGCAACUUGGCCGAGUGGUCUAAGGCGCUGGAAUUAGGUGUCUAACCAUCCAGUCCUCCGGGGCGUGAGUUCGAACCUCACAGUUGUCA
Mucidula mucida is the source of this 89-nucleotide non-coding RNA. The record is from the annotation of a GenBank genome assembly. Lineage: Eukaryota; Fungi; Basidiomycota; Agaricomycetes; Agaricales; Physalacriaceae.